Molecule: ribosomal RNA, 250 nt
Filed under: uncultured bacterium
Lineage: Bacteria
Description: partial 16S ribosomal RNA
Rfam family: Bacterial small subunit ribosomal RNA
Source: RNAcentral
UACGUAGGGUGCAAGCGUUGUCCGGAUUUACUGGGCGUAAAGCGCUCGUAGGCGGUUUGUCAAGUGUGAAGUGAAAUCUCCAGGGCUCAACCCGGAAACUGCUUCGCAGACUGGCAGACUUGAGUGACUCAGAGGUGGAUAGAAUUCCUGGUGUAGCGGUGAAAUGCGUUGAUAUCAGGAGGAAUACCGACGGCGAAGGCAGUCCACUGGGAGUCUACUGACGCUGAGGAGCGAAAGCGUGGGUAGCAAA